UGAACGCUGGCGGCGUGCCUACUACAUGCACGUCGAGCGAACGGACGAGAAGCUUGCUUCUCUGAUGUUAGCGGCGGACGGGUGAGUAACACGUGGAUAACCUACCUAUAAGACUGGGAUAACUUCGGGAAACCGGAGCUAAUACCGGAUAAUAUUUUGAACCGCAUGGUUCAAAAGUGAAAGACGGUCUUGCUGUCACUUAUAGAUGGAUCCGCGCUGCAUUAGCUAGUUGGUAAGGUAACGGCUUACCAAGGCAACGAUGCAUAGCCGACCUGAGAGGGUGAUCGGCCACACUGGAACUGAGACACGGUCCAGACUCCUACGGGAGGCAGCAGUAGGGAAUCUUCCGCAAUGGGCGAAAGCCUGACGGAGCAACGCCGCGUGAGUGAUGAAGGUCUUCGGAUCGUAAAACUCUGUUAUUAGGGAAGAACAUAUGUGUAAGUAACUGUGCACAUCUUGACGGUACCUAAUCAGAAAGCCACGGCUAACUACGUG
Molecule: ribosomal RNA, 495 nt
Filed under: uncultured bacterium
Lineage: Bacteria
Description: partial 16S ribosomal RNA
Rfam family: Bacterial small subunit ribosomal RNA
Source: RNAcentral